Molecule: unclassified non-coding RNA, 278 nt
Filed under: Hevea brasiliensis (rubber tree)
Lineage: Eukaryota; Viridiplantae; Streptophyta; Magnoliopsida; Malpighiales; Euphorbiaceae
Source: RNAcentral
GAAAAAUAGUUUAAUAGUUUCAUCUCGCUUUCUGCUAUUAUUUCAUUGCUGUUUUGUUGAUUAUCUGAUUGCUAUUCCAUUUUGCGAGCACUCCACUAUCUGUUUCUAGGGUUUUCUAUUCUAUCAUUUCCGUGAUACUUUCUUGUUCUUUUGAUUGGGGGAUGACUAUUAGGGUUUCGCUUAUUUAAUCAGUUUUUGUUUUAAGAUUUUGUUGCGUGUUUAGUUGUCUACGCUUAUGUAAUUAGUAUAUGGCUUUACCUAUUUUUUUUUUAGUGGUG